RNAcentral lists this ribosomal RNA (494 nucleotides) under uncultured bacterium. RNAcentral's name for it is "partial 16S ribosomal RNA". It matches the Rfam family "Bacterial small subunit ribosomal RNA", at positions 28 to 507 of the family's 1533-position model. The record is from RNAcentral.
GACGAACGCUGGCGGCGUGCUUAACACAUGCAAGUCGAACGGAAAGGCCUGCUUUCCCUUGUGGAUUGCGGGUACUCGAGUGGCGAACGGGUGAGUAACACGUGAGUGAUCUGCCCCCAACUUGGGUAUAAGCCUGGGAAACUGGGUCUAAUUCCCGAUAGGACUGCAGGGUGGUGCCUGUGGUGGGAAACGAUUUUCUAGUGGUUGGGGAUGAGCUCGCGGCCUAUCAGCUUGUUGGUGGGGUAAUGGCCUACCAAGGCGGCGACGGGUAGCCGGCCUGGGAGGGUGGACGGGCACAUUGGGACUGAGAUACGGCCCAGACUCCUACGGGAGGCAGCAGUGGGGAAUAUUGCACAAUGGGCGGAAGCCUGAUGCAGCGACGCCGCGUGGGGGAUGACGGCCUUCGGGUUGUAAACUCCUUUCGACCGCGAGGAAGCCACCUGGUUGGAAGGGUGGUGACGGUAGUGGUAGAAGAAGCACCGGCUAACUACGUG